This 76-nucleotide transfer RNA is filed under the name Zingiber officinale. RNAcentral's name for it is "tRNA-Gln". It matches the Rfam family "tRNA". Rfam says of the family: Transfer RNA (tRNA) molecules are approximately 80 nucleotides in length. Lineage: Eukaryota; Viridiplantae; Streptophyta; Magnoliopsida; Zingiberales; Zingiberaceae. The record is from RNAcentral.
GGUCCCAUGGUCUAGUGGUUAGGACAUUGGACUCUGAAUCCAGUAACCCGAGUUCAAAUCUCGGCAGGUGGGACCU